GAUGAAGAACGCAGCGAAAUGCGAUAAGUAAUGCGAAUUGCAGAAUUCCAGUGAGUCAUCGAAUCUUUGAACGCACAUUGCGCCCCCCGGCAUUCCGGGGGGCAUGCCUGUUCGAGCGUCUCCAGGACGAAUCCUCGCGUGAGUGAACGCGCGGUCGUGGCGGAGGUGGCGUGCCCGAGCAGGGCGGCCACCGCGCUGGAAUCCAUGGGCGGACGCCUGCCGCGUGGCCGAGCGUGAUAUGACGCAUUGGCGCUCGUGCGCGGCGAGGCUGCCAGCCCUGGCCCGUCUGUCGGGCGGGGUAGAUCACCACGUGGGAACUCCUCGAAUCAGGUAGGGAUACCCGCUGAACUUAAGCAUAUCAAUAAGCGGAGGA
Molecule: unclassified non-coding RNA, 373 nt
Filed under: soil metagenome
Description: partial contains 5.8S ribosomal RNA, internal transcribed spacer 2, and large subunit ribosomal RNA
Rfam family: 5.8S ribosomal RNA (bases 1-121)
Source: RNAcentral